ACGUUUCCGGACGUCUUACAUUGGGAAUUGUUAUUCCUGUAUUGUAUUCACAAUCAGUCACUUAGAAAGUCGCCUUGGAAGCGGAAACAUGUCUUCGUCAGGGUGACUUAAGCUGUGGCAAAUUGAUUCUCCAAUCAGAGACGGUGGCAUUCUUUUCCAUUCCGUUCGAAAUGCAUUAGGCGUAGGUACCCGACAACACCCUUGGCAUUGUCAACGCCUGGAAAGGAAUCCGGAGGGACCCGCACGAGGAGGGCGAUCCACUUGGGUAUUGAUAAAUGCGUUGAAAACUAAGCGACCGCCCAGUGGAUUACCACGGCCCCACGCCAGGCUGCCCGAUUCCCGAUCCUCGACACCCCUCCCGCUGCCAGCUCGCGAUGAGGAGCAAUCGACAACAAUCGCUGGUCAAAUUCAAUUGGCGCAAUUUUUCAUCUGUGGCUCCCAGGGAUCCGAUCUGGCGGAUCCUUUUGGCUCUGCCUGCUGCCGUCUAUUGUUGCCCUGGGCCUUGGCAAUUGUUCUCGGCUCUGGAUCUCUGGAGCUAUGGGGCCAUGGAGCCACGGGGCCAUGGGCUAUGGAGGUAUAUGGCUGCGGAGCCCUUGGGCUCAAGGUUGUUUAUUUUGAAAAAUCACCAUCACCCGAUCGUGGCUUGUGCCGACGGCUGGGGAUUUAAUUCUGUUCUGGACAUUUAUAAAUUGCAUUCAAUUUAUACACAACACGAAAGCGUGAUUUUUACAUUUUUACAAUCUAGCGAAUAAUAGAUCAGCGUCGUAUUAUUGCGGACUCCUUGCUCCAAUGCUCUUUGGGGCCAUACCUUCUUUGGGUCUCCAGCCCGUGCCGUGGACUGGUAGUUGAUUGAAAGUAGUGUUGCUCAGGCAACAACUAAACCAAUAAAAUACGCAAAUAUCUAUAAUAUUAUUAUUUAUAUAUUCCGUUGAAAUUGAAAUUAUCCUAUCUU
Molecule: non-coding RNA, 952 nt
Organism: Drosophila melanogaster (fruit fly)
Lineage: Eukaryota; Metazoa; Arthropoda; Insecta; Diptera; Drosophilidae
Source: Ensembl